AUACAGAGGGUGCGAGCGUUAAUCGGAAUUACUGGGCGUAAAGCGCGCGUAGGCGGCUACUUAAGUCAGAUGUGAAAUCCCCGGGCUCAACCUGGGAACUGCAUCUGAUACUGGGUAGCUAGAGUUUAGGAGAGGGAAGUAGAAUUUCAGGUGUAGCGGUGAAAUGCAUAGAGAUCUGAAGGAAUACCAGUGGCGAAGGCGACUUCCUGGCCAAAAACUGACGCUGAGGUGCGAAAGCGUGGGUAGCAAACGGGAUUAGAUACCCCAGUAGUCC
Molecule: ribosomal RNA, 274 nt
Filed under: uncultured bacterium
Lineage: Bacteria
Description: partial 16S ribosomal RNA
Rfam family: Bacterial small subunit ribosomal RNA
Source: RNAcentral